This 302-nucleotide unclassified non-coding RNA is filed under the name uncultured Chaetothyriales. RNAcentral describes it as "sequence contains ITS1". The stretch from base 1 to 105 matches the Rfam family "5.8S ribosomal RNA", at positions 50 to 154 of the family's 154-position model. The record is from RNAcentral. Lineage: Eukaryota; Fungi; Ascomycota; Eurotiomycetes; Chaetothyriales.
GAAAUGCGAUAAGUAAUGCGAAUUGCAGAAUUCAGUGAGUCAUCGAAUCUUUGAACGCACAUUGCGCCCUUUGGUAUUCCGAAGGGCAUGCCUGUUCGAGCGUCAUUUAACAACCAUCAAGCCUGGCUUGUCCUUGGACCUCGUGUCGUUCCCGGCAGGUCUUAAAGAUAACGGCGGCGUUUACCGGACCCUAGAUACACCGAGCUUUCCAGGCAUGUAUCCCGGUGGUCGGUAGGCGUGGCCUCCCCAUUUAUAAUUUUCAGGUUGACCUCGGAUCAGGUGGGAAUACCCGCUGAACUUAA